This 497-nucleotide ribosomal RNA is filed under the name uncultured bacterium. RNAcentral's name for it is "partial 16S ribosomal RNA". It matches the Rfam family "Bacterial small subunit ribosomal RNA", at positions 28 to 507 of the family's 1533-position model. The record is from RNAcentral.
GAUGAGCGCUGGCGGCGUGCCUAGUACAUGCAAGUCGAGCGAACGGACGAGAAGCUUGCUUCUCUGAUGUUAGCGGCGGACGGGUGAGUAACACGUGGAUAACCUACCUAUAAGACUGGGAUAACCUCGGGAAACCGUAGCUAAUACCGGAUAAUAUUUUGAACCGCAUGGUUCAAAAGUGAAAGACGGUCUUGCUGUCACUUAUAGAUGGAUCCGCGCUGCAUUAGCUAGUUGGUAAGGUAACGGCUUACCAAGGCAACGAUGCAUAGCCGACCUGAGAGGGUGAUCGGCCACACUGGAACUGAGACACGGUCCAGACUCCUACGGGAGGCAGCAGUAGGGAAUCUUCCGCAAUGGGCGAAAGCCUGACGGAGCAACGCCGCGUGAGUGAUGAAGGUCUUCGGAUCGUAAAACUCUGUUAUUAGGGAAGAACAUAUGUGUAAGUAACUGUGCACAUCUUGACGGUACCUAAUCAGAAAGCCACGGCUAACUACGUG